GCUUGGGUUUGGAUUCACGGCAGGGUCUUCCCCCCGGCCCUCUCAUAGGGUCCCCUGCCAGAGCAAACCAUUGCCUGGCCUUGUCCACAGGCCCUGGCACUGAAGCAGGUUGCACAGGA
Molecule: small nucleolar RNA, 119 nt
Filed under: Dasypus novemcinctus (nine-banded armadillo)
Lineage: Eukaryota; Metazoa; Chordata; Mammalia; Cingulata; Dasypodidae
Description: Small nucleolar RNA SNORA42/SNORA80 family (ENSDNOG00000026458.2)
Source: RNAcentral